ACAGGGCAUCAUAGAGGGUGAGAAUCCCGUCUUCGGCCUGAGCAUUUGUCUUUUGUGAUACACUUUCAAAGAGUCAGGUUGUUUGGGAAUGCAGCCUAAAUUGGGUGGUAAAUCUCACCUAAAGCUAAAUAUUGGCGAGAAACCGAUAGCGAACAAGUACCGUGAGGGAAAGAUGAAAAGAACUUUGAAAAGAGAGUUAAACAGUAUGUGAAAUUGUUAAAAGGGAACCGUUUGGAGCCAGACUGGCUUGUCUGUAAUCAGUCUAAGCUUCGGCUUGGAUGCACUUGCGGGCUAUGCCUGCCAACGACAAUUUGGCUUGAGGGAAAAAACUAGGGGGAAUGUGGCCCAUCCGUGGGUGUUAUAGUCCCUUAGAAAAUACCUUGGGCUGGAUUGAGGAACGCAGCGAAUGCUAUUUGGCGAGUUGGCUGGGAGAAUUUUC
This 439-nucleotide ribosomal RNA is filed under the name Rhizopus homothallicus. RNAcentral describes it as "eukaryotic LSU rRNA". It matches the Rfam family "Eukaryotic large subunit ribosomal RNA", at positions 195 to 637 of the family's 3401-position model. Lineage: Eukaryota; Fungi; Mucoromycota; Mucoromycetes; Mucorales; Rhizopodaceae. The record is from RNAcentral.